Molecule: ribosomal RNA, 497 nt
Filed under: uncultured bacterium
Lineage: Bacteria
Description: partial 16S ribosomal RNA
Rfam family: Bacterial small subunit ribosomal RNA
Source: RNAcentral
GAUGAACGCUGGCGGCGUGCCUAAUACAUGCAAGUCGAGCGAACAGACGAGGAGCUUGCUCCUCUGACGUUAGCGGCGGACGGGUGAGUAACACGUGGAUAACCUACCUAUCAGACCGGGAUAACUUCGGGAAACCGGAGCUAAUACCGGAUAAUAUAUUGAACCGCAUGGUUCAAUCGUGAAAUACGGUUUUGCUGACACUUAUAGAUGGAUCCGCGCCGCAUUAGCUAGUUGGUAAGGUAACGGAUUACCAAGGCAACGAUGCGUAGCCGACCUGAGAGGAUGGUCAGCGACACUGGAACUGAGACACGGUCCAGACGCCUACGGGAAGCAGCAGUAGGGAAUCUUCCGCAAUGAGCGAAAGCCUGACGGAGCAGCGCCGAGUGAGUGAUGAGGGUCUUCGGAUCGGAAAACUCUGUUAUUGGGGAGGAACAAGUGUGUAAGUAGCUAUGCACGUAUUGACGGUACCUAAUCAAAAAGCCACGGCUAACUACGUG